CCUACGGGAGGCAGCAGUAGGGAAUCUUUCACAAUGGGCGAAAGCCUGAUGGAGCAACGCCGCGUGCAGGAUGAAGGCCUUCGGGUUGUAAACUGCUUUUAUAAGCGAGAAAUAUGAUGGUAACUUAUGAAUAAGGAUCGGCUAACUACGUGCCAGCAGCCGCGGUCAUACGUAGGAUCCGAGCAUUAUCCGGAGUGACUGGGUGUAAAGAGUUGCGUAGGUGGCAUAAUAAGUAGCUAGUGAAAUCUGGUGGCUCAACCAUUCAGACUAUUGGCUAAACUGUUAAGCUCGAGACCGUUAGGGGUAACUGGAAGUUCUAGUGUAGGAGUGAAAUCCGUAGAUAUUAGAAGGAACACCAAUAGCGUAGGCAGGUUGCUGGGACGGUUCUGACGCUAAGGCACGAAAGCGUAGGGAGCAAACGGGAUUAGAUACCCGAGUAGUC
RNAcentral lists this ribosomal RNA (442 nucleotides) under uncultured bacterium. RNAcentral's name for it is "partial 16S ribosomal RNA". It matches the Rfam family "Bacterial small subunit ribosomal RNA", at positions 338 to 795 of the family's 1533-position model. The record is from RNAcentral.